Molecule: transfer RNA, 67 nt
Filed under: Curculionidae sp. 1 AH-2016
Lineage: Eukaryota; Metazoa; Arthropoda; Insecta; Coleoptera; Curculionidae
Description: tRNA-Ser
Source: RNAcentral
GAAUUAAGAAACAUCAGGACAAAACUUCUAAUUUUAACCCUAAGCGAAUUAAAUCGUUUUUAAUUCU